GCCUACGGGGGGCAGCAGUAGGGAAUCUUCCACAAUGGACGAAAGCCUGAUGGAGCAACGCCGCGUGGGUGAAGAAGGUCUUCGGAUCGUAAAACCCUGUUGUUAGAGAAGAAAGUGCGUGAGAGUAACUGUUCACGUUUCGACGGUAUCUAACCAGAAAGCCACGGCUAACUACGUGCCAGCAGCCGCGGUAAUACGUAGGUGGCAAGCGUUAUCCGGAUUUAUUGGGCGUAAAGGGAACGCAGGCGGUCUUUUAAGUCUGAUGUGAAAGCCUUCGGCUUAACCGGAGUAGUGCAUUGGAAACU
Molecule: ribosomal RNA, 305 nt
Filed under: uncultured bacterium
Lineage: Bacteria
Description: bacterial SSU rRNA
Rfam family: Bacterial small subunit ribosomal RNA
Source: RNAcentral